Molecule: ribosomal RNA, 267 nt
Filed under: uncultured bacterium
Lineage: Bacteria
Description: partial 16S ribosomal RNA
Rfam family: Bacterial small subunit ribosomal RNA
Source: RNAcentral
CGACCGGCGCACGGGUGAGUAACACGUAUGCAACCUGCCCUCCGCAGGGGGAUAACCCGGAGAAAUCCGGACUAAUACCGCGUGGUACACCAGUGGGGCAUCCCACUGGUGUUAAAAGGAAGUGAUUCCGGCGGAGGAUGGGCAUGCGGCGCAUUAGCUUGUUGGCGGGGUAACGGCCCACCAAGGCGACGAUGCGUAGGGGUUCUGAGAGGAAGGUCCCCCACACUGGUACUGAGACACGGACCAGACUCCUACGGGAGGCAGCAG